RNAcentral lists this ribosomal RNA (414 nucleotides) under Triticum aestivum (bread wheat). Its description in RNAcentral is "partial small subunit ribosomal RNA". The record is from RNAcentral. Lineage: Eukaryota; Viridiplantae; Streptophyta; Magnoliopsida; Poales; Poaceae.
AUGGGUGUUGAGAUUAAAAGUGUAAGAGGAGAGAGUGUUCAAGAAGGAAUCACUAGCCCAUUUCUUGUGAAAGUUCGCCUAGGGGAAGAAUCAAGCUGUCAUCGGAUCACAUCUCUCGAAGCAUUGCUCAAUGUUAAAGUGAGCACGAAGGAAGAAUUCAAAAGAAAAUUUGAAAAGCUUAAGGUAAAGAGGAAAAAAGAUAAGAGUAAAGAUGAGGAAGAUCCCAUAAUACUCAAGGAAGAACACAAAGAACUCACAUUAAAAAUCCAAGAGAUGCCAAAAGAAGGGUGUGCUGAAGUAACAUCUCAGAGACCCCAACUAAGCCAAUCAACAAGAUUCCGACUAGUAAUUGAAAAUAACGUGAGCAGAACAAUUUACAAAAAGGAAACUGUAAGGAUGGUGAAGGUCACAUAA